Molecule: non-coding RNA, 188 nt
Filed under: human gut metagenome
Source: RNAcentral
AGAACUAUUAUUCUGAUGAGUCGAAUGAUGGAGUAACGCCCUGAAAGGCUCACGUUAAUACUACGGACGGCUAAGCAGUGUGAAAUGCAGAUGUCGUAAGCCCGUGGAAGUCGCACGAGAGCAGUCCUAACGGAUAAAGCCGAGGAAAGUGUCACAGAGGUGUGAUGUACUGCCUAUAGUGCGGACGG